UACAGAGGUGGCAAGCGUUGUUCGGAAUUACUGGGCGUAAAGGGCGCGUAGGCGGCCUUCUAAGUCAGACGUGAAAUCCCCCGGCUUAACCUGGGAACUGCGUCUGAUACUGGAAGGCUUGAGUUUGGGAGAGGGAUGCAGAAUUCCAGGUGUAGCGGUGAAAUGCGUAGAUAUCUGGAGGAAUACCGGUGGCGAAGGCGGCAUCCUGGACCAACACUGACGCUGAGGCGCGAAAGCUAGGGGAGCAAACAGG
Molecule: ribosomal RNA, 253 nt
Filed under: uncultured bacterium
Lineage: Bacteria
Description: partial 16S ribosomal RNA
Rfam family: Bacterial small subunit ribosomal RNA
Source: RNAcentral